This 210-nucleotide unclassified non-coding RNA is filed under the name Stropharia hornemannii. Its description in RNAcentral is "partial internal transcribed spacer 2". The record is from RNAcentral. Lineage: Eukaryota; Fungi; Basidiomycota; Agaricomycetes; Agaricales; Strophariaceae.
AAUUCUCAACCUUUAUCAACUUUUUAAGUAGAUAAAUGGCUUGGAUGUGGGGGUUGCCGGUUUCUCUUUUGAAAUCAGCUCUCCUGAAAUAUAUUAGCUGGUUGCCUUGUGUAAACCUGUCUAUUGGUGUGAUAAUUAUCUACGCCGUGGACUAUUUACCGUUUUUAAGCACUGCUUCUAACCGUCUGUUCAUUCGGACAAUCUCUGACA